GUGCCAGCAGCCGCGGUAAUACCGGCAGCCCAAGUGAUGGCCGAUCUUAUUGGGCCUAAAGCGUCCGUAGCUGGGUCUGAAAGUCCAUCGGGAAAUCCACUCGCUCAACGAGUGGCCGUCCGGUGGAAACUCCACACCUUGGGACCGGAAGGCUCGAAGGGUACGGCCGGGGUAGGAGUGAAAUCCCAUAAUCCCGCACGGACCACCGAUGGCGAAAGCACUUCGAGAAAACGGAUCCGACAGUGAGGGACGGAAGCCAGGGUCUCCAACCGGAUUAGAUACCCCAGUAGUCC
Molecule: ribosomal RNA, 293 nt
Filed under: uncultured bacterium
Lineage: Bacteria
Description: partial 16S ribosomal RNA
Rfam family: Archaeal small subunit ribosomal RNA
Source: RNAcentral